UAAAAGAAAUAUUACAAGAGCAAGGAUGAGCUCUUGAAGAUGGAAAACAUGAUAGCCGAAGUGAAAGAUCAAUAUCAGGCUUGGAAGAUGAAGUAGAACGCAUUCAUUCAUUCAGCAAAUAUUAUCGACUAGUUACUAGAUCCUUGACAUUGUUCCAGACAGUGGAAAUACAUCAGUAAGCAAAACAGACAAAGAGUCCCAGCCUAGUAACCCUUCAAUUCUAGUGCAAGCGAGCAUAAUCAACACCGUAAUAUGUAGGUUACAUGGUAUAUUGGAAGGGGUUGAGUGCUCGGGGGGAAAAAGAAGAGCAGAGCAUGGUAAGGAGAAUCAAGAGUGCUGGGAGGCGGGAAUGGAGAUAAGUUGAACUUUUAAAUAAGAAGGCCAGGACUGGCCUCCCUUGAGAACGUGACAACUGAGCAAAGAUGCAGAGGGUGAGGAAGUCAGCCAUCUGAUGGCUGGGAGCAGAUUAUUCCAGGCAGAGGGAGCAACUAGCCCAAAGACCCUGAGAUAAGAGAGUGCUUGGCCUGUGCCAGGUCCAGCAGGGAGGCCAGUGUGGCAGGAGCAAGCAGGGGAGAGGACAGCGGGAGAUGAGGUGGGGAGGAGACAGUGCCAGACCACAUGGGGCCAUGGAGGCUAUGGGAAGGACUUUGGCUUUUCUGCUGAGGGAAAAGGAGAGCCACUGCAGAGUUUGAGCAGAGAAGUGACAUGAUCUGACUGUUGUCUUAAAAGGAUCACUCUGGCUGCUGUGUUGAGAAUUGGCAUCUCAAUUUCAAGGAUGUGUGCAAUGCCAUGCCGGAGUCCUUUGUUUAUACCUUCGUUGUUCCCUCUGAGCAGGCCUCUCUGUUUGCUGCCGUCCUCUUUUCUGAGAAAUGGUCCCUCGCUUGCUUCUCUGUCAGUAUGCUCUCUACCCGAUAUCCUCUGCUGACUUCACCUCACAGGUCCUUCGGCUCCCGCUCCUCUGGCCUCAUAUCCUAAAGCACGUUACAUCUGGCUGGUUCUGCUUUUGUGUUAAUAUUGUUAGAAGCAGGGCCUCUUUUGCCUCCCUUGUUGUUUGCUAAACCUCUUAGGCAUAUGCAAAUAAGUAUUAAGCACUUGUUUUUUAAUAUAACAUUUAAUUUUCUGCUUUCUGAAGCUCUGUCAUCAGGCAGAGUCCUUUACAGAGGUAAGCUUUGUAUGACUCUUGAAAAACUCAACAGUUUAAGCUGCUUUAAACAGAGAGAGAAAACAAGAAAAUCUGUCUUAUACCUUAAAUUCCAAACCUGCAGACCCUUGGUGGCAAAACCAACCAACAACCCUUCUGCCACACAUACACACAAACUUUUAUGGAAGCAUAUCUGUUUAAACCAAAUAUACUUAGAUUAUAAGGAAAAAUGCAUGAAUCAUGUUUCCUGUAAAAUCAUUUUCCUCUGUAGUUUUCAAUGCUUAUCCUUUGAUGUUAAAAAAAAAAAAAAUAGAGCUUAAGGGACUUCUGAUAAAGUUGGUGCAGGUUCACAAAAUUCCCUUCCCACAGAAUUGUGUAAGAUUAACAAAUAUCAAAUGUAAAAAUAACAAAGAACAUGCCAUCAACCCUGAAACCAAGAAAAGAUUCCAACUUCAUACCAUAAACUUUGAGAAGUGUCAUCCAAAAAAAGAAAACUUGGGCCAAAUUGAAAGAAGAUGCUUAAAAAAAAAAAAAAAAUCGAUACAUUCUUCAAAGAGAAGAGUGGAGCAUGGAGAAGUACAAGGAGGGAAUCCUGAAAAAUUUUACUGCUUUUGAAGGUGCUACAUUGAGUAUAAAGGUGUACCAGCAGAAGGGCUUAGAACACCCCAUACGUUCAUUGGGGACCCUUUCUUUCAUCAAGAAGACUUCUUUAACAAGCAAGAAGAGUAGGUAAGGUUUGCCGUCUUUCCUGCGUCUGAUAUAUCAAUAACUGGAUGUAAAAUUAGGAAAUCAUGUACAGGCAAUGAUUAUUACAGCCGAACCAAGGAAAGCUCCACUAGACAUGGAAAAGGAACACUUGGGCCUAUAACAAGCCAGAAGCCUGUGAUACAACCCGGAUGUGGUGAAGCAAACCUCUGAUGCAUUUAUUUCACAGAAUGAAGACCUUGCUGGCAGUUACUUAAAGCCCCUGCACGCUCUCCUCUCUUCUUAGGCAACUAAAUGGAUAAGGAAUUUUCCAGUCCAUAUCAUAGGUGGAAGAAUAAAGCAAUAUCAAAUCAGGAACUAUUUGGGGGCAAAUGGCAUACUGAGAAAGAAUGACUUACAUCUACUAAGCAGUUUUCAGGUCAUACCGACAUGUGAUGGAGGCAAAAUAUCUGCACAUGCAAAAAAAGAAAGUAGCACAACUCACUAAAGGUAAAAGGAAUAGACUUUCCAAUAGUUGUAACAGCCUCUGCUUAUUGAGCACUGACUACCCACCAGGCACUAUUUUAAGUGUUGUGUAUGUAUUAACUCCAUUAGUCCUCACAACACUACAAGGUAAGCAUCACAAUUAUCCCCAUUUUACAGCUAAGAAAACUAAGGCACAGAGGAGUUAAGAAGUUUGCCCAAGUUUACACAGCUCUUAAGAGUGGGACCAGGAUUUGAAAACAGGCAGUCUGAGUCCAGAGCUGCCUCUCAGCUACUCUGCUUUUAUAACUCAAGAAAUAGACAACAUUUUAGGCAACUGCUUUUUACUUUCAAGGAAAUUUAAGAGAAUACAAAUGUAUUGGCCAUACACCUUUUCUUGAAAGCUGCUGGGGAAGAGGAGCGAAGAAAAGCAA
Molecule: long non-coding RNA, 2742 nt
Organism: Sapajus apella (tufted capuchin)
Lineage: Eukaryota; Metazoa; Chordata; Mammalia; Primates; Cebidae
Exons: 2
Source: RefSeq, a predicted model, not a curated record